Molecule: non-coding RNA, 413 nt
Organism: Pelobates cultripes (western spadefoot toad)
Lineage: Eukaryota; Metazoa; Chordata; Amphibia; Anura; Pelobatidae
Source: the annotation of a GenBank genome assembly
CCAUGCCUGUACCGGUCCAUGGAGCUUAGAGCAGAGCCAGCGCUAUGAUAGCGCGGGCUCUGCAUGAGCCGACAGAGGAGAUCCUGAGAUCUUCCCUGCCGGUCUCAAUCCAUAGGUGUGCCGUGGGGAUUAGGGUGUGCCCAGGCACACCCGGCACAGGCCUAUGGCAAAGACAUGGACGAUAACUGUAUGGGUUGACAUUAAUCUUGUUAAACCAAUAAUAUGGGCCCUGAGGCUUGGAAAGUAUCUACUGGCUGGUGGUAAUAACCGUAAUUUACAGCUGAUUUUUUAGCAACUGCUCAGGAAAUGAGACCUUAGGAGCCAUGUAAUAACACUGUAGAAAUACAGUAGAGUCUUGGCCAAUAUAUAAUCUUAAUAUAUGACUUGUUCAAUUAUAAUAUUCAAGAAUUUAG